Molecule: non-coding RNA, 45 nt
Filed under: Schistosoma haematobium
Lineage: Eukaryota; Metazoa; Platyhelminthes; Trematoda; Strigeidida; Schistosomatidae
Source: RNAcentral
AUCUAACUGAUGAAUCCUAAAUAGGACGAAACGCGCUUCUUGAAC